AUUGGAUGUAACAUGAAAAUUGCUCUUCUUCUUGUGUUUUUUCUUCAGCUUUCUACCAGGAGCCCUAGCUCAAACUGCAUCCAUUGAGAAAGACAUUUUGAAAACACACCAGCUUUAAGAAGGACAAGGACCACAUAUCUACCAGAUAGCCUCCAAG
Molecule: long non-coding RNA, 157 nt
Organism: Lepidothrix coronata (blue-crowned manakin)
Lineage: Eukaryota; Metazoa; Chordata; Aves; Passeriformes; Pipridae
Exons: 3
Source: RefSeq, a predicted model, not a curated record